UCCAAGUACUUAAAAUAAAAGCAAAGAUAAGCAUUGAUUCUCUCCUUGCUUAUGUUCCUUAAUAGAUAAAACUAAACUGUGAUUUUAAAAAAAAAUGAGAAUGAGGACUAAUUCUAGAUACUCCCAUAAUGAUAUUCAUCUUCACAAAUCCAUCUUAUUUCAUUCAUUGACCUAAUUUGGUUCAUGAGAAACUUAAAAUAAGUAUGUCAAGGCAAUAGAGAAUAAGAGAUAAAAAUGAAUGUAGCUAUUACUUAAAAAUAAUAUUAUGCACCAGGAAAUGUUCUAAGUACUUAAGAUUAUUUACUCCAUUUAAUUUUCACAUUCUUUAUCUGAAGUAUGUACUACUAUUUUCCCUUUAUAGGUAUGAGAAGACUGAGUCUCAAGGAUGGCAACUGAAUAAAGUUCCUGUGGUUUGUAAAUGGUAGACUAGGAUUUGAAACCAGAGAUAAUUGUCUCAAAAUUCCUGGCUCUUCGCCAUAAUAUGUGCCACCUCUAGACCUCAGUGCAUCAUUUUUCUCCACUAAGAAGAUUUAGUAUUCAUGCAGAGGAAAAAAAAAUCACAUUACUUCGAAGGACAAGAUUGAUGGGACCUCGGGAAAAAAAAUAAUGAUUGAAAUUCUCAGCUGCUCUCCAAGGUGAUUAAAUCCUAAUUGGGGGAAGGGCCUCACUUGGAACCUGCAGGCUACAGCUGGAUGGUUUUGUGGGCUCCAAAGGAAAUACAGUUGGAUCUAUUGCAUUCUGCAAUUGCUUUAGGCAGUUCUGUAUCGAAGGCUUACAAUUCGGUAAUAGGAAGGCUGACACUGUGAUGAUUUCUACCCUCCCUAAUUAUUCUAUGAUGUUUGUUGAUGUGCAUAAGCCCAGGUUCUGAAGCGUCAUUUAAGAAGGGAUAGAGGACCUCUCAUUUAGGUGAACAGAGCUCAAUUUUAGAGGGAGUUGACAUUCCAUCCCCCUCCUGAAAUGUAUUGCCCAUCCAACCUUUGAGCCUGAUGCCUUCAGGCUGUCAUCAUUAUUUAUCAAUAGAAGAUGACUUAUAAGGGUGAAGAACUGACAAAGUCUUAUAAUAUUUAAGCAGCAAUUUAUAAUUUAGAUUAUCUUCAGACACAAAAUCUCAGAAAAGAAGUUCACAUAUUUUCAAGAAAGAAACUUUCCCAUUUUUCCAUUUUGCAGAUUGAGAAAAUGAGAUAAAAAGUGUUACAUGCUUUGUCAAAGAUGACCUAGGCUAUAAAGAGCAAACUUGUGAGUUUUUGUUUUGUUUUUGAGUUGUGCUUUUCUGAGUUUUAAAAGAGCGAUAUUCCAUUUUUGUGUCAAAUUAGCUUAGCAAUUUUUUCACAUAAUGGUUACAAAAAAGGUGAUAAAUCCAUAACUCAUUUAAUGGAUCUUUUUUAGACAUCUGCCAUCUGCCAGUGCUGAAUAAAACAAAUGCUUUUCCUGUCUUCUGGGAGCUUAUAAUUGAGGAGUAAAGAAAAAUUCUGAAAAAGUAAUUGUAAGUAAGAGUCAGAAGACUGAUUUGAUUCUUGUAAACAAUAUGAGAAAUUGAGAGAGAAGCACAUUAUUGUUUUUCAACAGAUGUCAUUUGAGUUUGGAGAAGGGCAAAGGAAAGAAGAUAAUCACUGGAAGACAACCUGAGAAAAUAAAAAACAAAACAAAACAGAUUUUGUUAAAUGCUCAACUUAACUGAACACUUUGACUCCAUUUUUUAUGUUUGAUCUCUGACAGCUUUCAGGACCCACCUCUCUUUUAUUCCAUUUCCACACAUAAAAAAAGUCUGAUGCUCCCUUCCAUGGCACCCAUGGUAACAUCAAACAAAGAAAACCCUGGCCCCCCAUGGGAGAACAGUUCUGCUAGUCCAUCCAUUAACCACAAUACAAACCAAAGCCAUCGCCUCUCACUCAGCACAAGAGGCUCUGGACCAACUUUGGUACCUGCAUUACCCAUUACCCCAGAAAGCCCUAUUUUGUGAGAAACAAACUUUUUGUAUCAUCUUAGUGCAGGUGUAGCAUCAUCUACCUUGACAUCUGAACCAAUUACUGAUCCAUGGGGCCAACACAAAAUAAGUGGUGCUGUAAACAGGGUAGUCAAGAUGAUCACCACCAGAUGGAGUCUCAAGGAUGGCAAAUGAAGGUCAUGUGGUUUGUAAAUGGUAGGCUAAGAUUUGAAACCAGAGCCAUUUGUCUCAACAUUUUUAGCUCUCAGCCACAAUAUGUACUGCCAUCUGCCAGUGCUGAAGAAAACAAAUGCUUUUCUAUUUUUCUGGAAGAAAAUGGGAGUCCUCUCUUCCUUUUGACUUGCUACUACUGGCUCUGUUCCCUGCCGGUGAGCAUGCCCUUGGAGCUGAUGCCUGCUUGCUAAUAUGCACCUUGAGCUGUACUGCUUCCUGCCAAUAAGCUUGGGCUUUGAGCUGUGCUGUGCUGUGGUGCUGUGACCAAGUCCUAUUAAGCUUUUAUUUUAGAUUUAUUGUCCGAAGUUGCAAGUUUCAAUAAUUGGCAUGUAGGGACAGAAAUAUGAAAUUGGGACCCUUCUUAAAAAGUAUCUGGGUCAUGUGUCUUAGCUUGCAACUAUCUUUUUGUCUCAAUAGUCAACAAUAAUAUAAUGUGUAUUUAAAAGUAACUAAGAGAAUCUUAUAUUUGAUUCAAGCAUAAGUCAUAAUGAAUAUUAUUCAGAGAAAGACUCUCGCCCUGUUACCAUUUGUUAUCUGUUUCAAUCAGGCACUGAUCCCCAUUCUAUAGAACUCUUGGGAGACAGACUGAUACAUUAUAAAAAAUAUGAGCUCAUCAAGUAGCCAUUAACGUGGAAGAAGAGGUCUACAUUCCUAAAACCAAAUGACUUAGUGGAAUCGUAGGAGGCCUCACGUGUUUUUGCUACUACUGCCCAUGCUUCUGUCAAACAAAAUAUUUGUAUCAUUGGGGUUAGAAGAGAAAAUAUGCAUGAUACCCCAUGGCAGAGAAUAGUUUACUUUCAGCCCUGUCCAAAAAAUGGAAGACCACAAUCUUAAUAUAUAAGUAAAAUGGACUAACAAAGACUCUGGAUUCAAUUGGGUUUUAUGGGUUAUCAAUAUGUCAGGGGUUAAUUCAAAAUCAGUUUAAGCCUAGGGUCCCUAAAUCCCAAGAAAGCAACAAUCACAUUAGGGAGGCUUCUAAUGCAGACAAUAUUUAUCUGGGGACCUCUGGACAAGAAAAAAAACAAAACUUAUAAAUAUGGGCAGGGUAGAGAGGACUUCAUGAGCUAUAUCUAAUAAUCACACACACACACAUAUGCACAUGCACGUGCACAUAUACACACUCCUCGAUACCAGGGGAAAAAUAAAAAUUGAAACAGAGGUCUGCUAAUUGACUCAACUAAAAAUAAAAAAAUUAUUAUAGAGGAAAUUUACUUUGGAAUCAUACUCCCAGAUCACUAGAUAUUCAAGUUUACGUUAUACUGAACCUUAUUUUAUCAGCACGUUGAGAAGGCAAUCUUUGAUAUGACGGGCCUUGUGGUUCUUGCUCUAUAGCAGAGUAUCGUUGAGUCCAUGUGUUACAUCUUUCUCUACUACAAACAACUACUUGUUUACAUACAAAAUUCUUGAAUUUCUUACACAGUGUGCACAUAAGUUUCUUUUUGUAUUUUGUUCAGUUAAAUAGACCUUACCUUAAAUAUUAGCUAAGUAUCUUUCAUUUUUCAAAUACAUGAAAUAUUAGUUGAAUUGAGAGAUAACUUGAGCUUCAAAUUUUUUUUCUAAUAAAUAUAAUGUUUGUGAAAAUGGGGAAAAACCUGCUUUUGUCCAGGGUGUUUCAUGUUGAAGUAAAACAAAGUAUUCAUUAACCAUCUAAUAUAUAUUUAUUGUCUGUCUACAUGUAUCAUUUUGUAAGUAUGUAACCAUGAAAAACAAACUCUGAGUCUUUAAGUGUUUCUGAUUUGCUGUAUGCAAGCUAGCUACACUUAAGGUGCUACUCUUCCUUAGAUACGACUAAUGCAGCAAAGUGUGGUCUGUUCACUCCACACACCCUGCCGUGGUUUGAAAGAGAUGCAAAUUAGGUAAACUUCAUAAGUUUCAUCUGUAGCCAUCUCAUGAUUGUUUCUUUGAGUCAUAAUUCAUGCAUUCAUACUCAUGCUUUAAUUUAAAAUAUUGAUUGUUUUAAUUUACAAGAAAAGGCAAACCUCCUCAUUGAAAAGUGGGCCAAUGUCAUGAACAGACACCUUUCAAAAAAAGCAUACAUGCGGCCAUGGCCAACAAGCAUGUGAAGAAAAGCUCAACGUCACUGAUCCCCAAAGAAAUGCAAAUCAAAACCAUGAGAUACUAUCUCACACCAAUCAGAAUGGCCAUUAUUAAAAAUAAACAGG
Molecule: long non-coding RNA, 4320 nt
Filed under: Homo sapiens (human)
Lineage: Eukaryota; Metazoa; Chordata; Mammalia; Primates; Hominidae
Description: HSALNT0072726
Source: RNAcentral